AUUCUACAGUCAAGAAAAAA
Molecule: small RNA, 20 nt
Filed under: Arabidopsis thaliana (thale cress)
Lineage: Eukaryota; Viridiplantae; Streptophyta; Magnoliopsida; Brassicales; Brassicaceae
Description: ATSL242920
Source: RNAcentral